This is a long non-coding RNA of Oenanthe melanoleuca, 932 nucleotides long. RefSeq lists it as uncharacterized. NCBI's taxonomy places the organism in Eukaryota, Metazoa, Chordata, Aves, Passeriformes, Muscicapidae. The record is from RefSeq and is a predicted model, not a curated record. The transcript is spliced from 3 exons.
GGCUGGGCUGUCCCUGCUGUACAGAAAUCUGGUGUGCUGGCCCUAAAUCCUGCUGGCAGCUGGGCUCAGGGCGCAGGUGCACAGGUGGGGAUGGGAUGGAGCCAUCACACCUGUCCUUGUUUGCGCUCCAGUGACCUCGCAGCAGAACAUUUCUGCACACACUGACAGCACGGCAAUGGGAGAGACAUUAACCUCUGAACUAGAGCUGCUGACAGCUUCCAAACAAAUAAUCCUGGGGAAGUUCUCCUCUCCAGGGUAGGAGAGUUGCUGGAGGUUUCACGGUGGCAGAAGAAGAAAAGGAAAUGAAGCCCAGCUCUUCUCACGCUGCCUGGACUCUCCUUCCCACCUCUGAAACGCCUUUUUAACAAAUACCACCAGUUUUUUUCCUUUUUCAGAAGCGAGACUCCUGCAACCCCAGGGCAUGGAAUCAUGAAACAGCUUUUGUCUUGGAGCUGGCGUCUGUGUUAUCAAGCCCUUGCCCUGCUAUUGUCCGAGCCUGCAGGAAAAGGAAGGAGCCGAGGCCCCCGCGGUUCCUUCCUGCCCGGAGCCGGGGCUGCGCUGGAUCCUCUCCGUCAGCUCCAGCCCCCGGGACCACCGCGAUGACAACUUCCACAGGACCGCACUCCCUGCCAGGCAAAGCAGAGGAAGCUGCUAAUGGAUGCUAAUGGAGCUGUGAGGAUGCUCCUGGGGGGCACCGAGCCGUCCUGUAGCGAGAAAAGCGGCGAGCAGCUCCACUCGCACCUGCACGGCUGUUGUGGCUGUCGCUCUCAGACAUCCCUGGGGGUUACAGCUUCAGCAGAUUAGGGCAGAGGAAGAUUUGCAGCUCCAGGCAAACCACGGAGGCAGGGCAACACUGGUAUGAAGCUGAGCUGAUCAAACAGCUGCUGACAGGACAGAAGGAUUGACAAGGACUGUACAAGGAUGGAGAAAAU